RNAcentral lists this long non-coding RNA (1470 nucleotides) under Elaeis guineensis (African oil palm). Its description in RNAcentral is "long non-coding RNA (EGUI_LNC000210)". Lineage: Eukaryota; Viridiplantae; Streptophyta; Magnoliopsida; Arecales; Arecaceae. The record is from RNAcentral.
UGGCUCCAAGUAAUAAUGACGCUCUUCAAGUGGGAAAACCACUUGCAUGCAUAAUACAUUCACACGUACUCAUAUACAACAAAGCUAGUCUUGAAAUAGUAACACUAUGUUAUUGGCAACUUUAGAUCAUCUGAUGUGUGGAUAAACAUCCAUUAACCUUAACACAAGUUUUAAAAAGGUCACAGCAGUGGCUUGCCACUGAUACUGCAUAGGACAAGCUUCAUUUUCACUCUUUUAAAAUUAGCAAAAAAAAGAAAAAGAAAAGGAAAGUUACAUGUUGUAUUGAGAUGUUAAAUAAAGACAUUAGAAUAAUAAGAUGUGGACAACAAAAAAGAAUCAUCAAACCUUGAAACAAUCACUUGCUUGAUCAAACUUAUCAGAUCUCCUUGCUUAUGAAACACAUCAGCAUCUAUAUGCACUUCACCGCAUUUCUUCCACAAUGCGUAACUGUAACCAUGAUCACCUAGUCUUAUCCCAACUCUGCAGAAUUGGCUUUAUGGACCCUCAUGUACCAAGUAUUCCUGUUUACAGUCACCUCAGGUGUUUUUAAAUUUCCACAACACAUUGUAACUUCAAAAGAUUAGUCUUGGGGAUGUGAUCAUGCAUCUACAAUUCAUAUCCAUGUGGAGAUCUGCACUAUAUGAUGGCAGCAUACCAAAUUUGUGCAUGAAACUCGGCCUGCCGGGGAAUGGUAAACAGGCAACUGUGCCCAAGAUACACUGUCACCUUAAGUGUAAGAGUUGUCCAACUUCCAACACACUCUAAUUAGGUCACUCUUCAAAGAAAAAGAUGGACCAUAAAAAUGUAUUUGUCAUGGUUGAUAGGCAGUUUGAGAUCAUGGAGAAAAUGUCCAGAGGUGAAUCUAGCUGGGUUGUAUUGAUAGUUUAAUCUUCAGUAAAUCCAAGGAGAAUUAAAUCGGACAUUUUUUCCAACUCUAUUUUCAUGUACUGCUAAUUAAAAUAUGGUGUCCUAAGUCAGGAUCAGAGUUUCGGAAGUUGUCUGAUGUAUAGCAGAAUUAGCUCUUUAUAACACCUUGGACCAGGAAUUUCCUUUUUUCCUGGUUGGUUGGACCAGAUAUUUUCAAUGGCAUGCAUUUCAACCUUGUUGCUCAUGCAGCUCUAAAAGACUGAGUCCAAGUACCUACUUGGAGGUACGAAGCACAGCAAAAGUAAGACUCUGAUAUCUCCACAAGGCCAAACUUUUAUUCCCUUAAUUUUUGGAGUCACCAUCUUGAGGCACUUCAAGCUGGUUGGUUAUGGGGCUCUAAAAGACUGAAUUUAAACACUAGUCCAAGGUCUGAAGCAGACUAAAGUUAAGACUCUGAUAUCUCCAAGAAAAACUUUCAUUCCCUUAAUUAUUGGAGUUGCCAUCUUGACCUUGCAUAAAUAGCAGGUGGUGCGAUGGCCCAGUCUGGCCCAAUCCACUUGACCAGCCACACCUAGCUGCAGCCUAGCUUAGCUGGACUGCAUG